GAUGAACGCUAGCGGGAGGCCUAACACAUGCGAGCCGAGCGGUAUGGGUAGCUUGCUCCCCAGAGAGCGGCGUACGGGUGCGUAACACGUGUGCAACCUGCCCCUAUCCGGGGGAUAGCCCUCCGAAAGGAGGAUUAAUACCCCAUAAUAUAUCUGGUGGCAUCACUAGAUAUUGAAAACCCCGGUGGAUAGGGAUGGGCACGCGCAAGAUUAGAUAGUUGGCGGGGUAACGGCCCACCAAGUCGAUGAUCUUUAGGGGUCCUGAGAGGGAGAUCCCCCACACUGGUACUGAGACACGGACCAGACUCCUACGGGAGGCAGCAGUGAGGAAUAUGGGACAAUGGGUGGAAGCCUGAUCCAGCCAUCCCGCGUGAGGGACGACGGCCCUAUGGGGUGUAAACCUCUUUUGUACGGGGAUAAACCUAUCUACGUGUAGAUAGCGGAAGGUACCGUACGAAUAAGCACCGGCUAACUCCGG
This 478-nucleotide ribosomal RNA is filed under the name uncultured bacterium. RNAcentral's name for it is "partial 16S ribosomal RNA". It matches the Rfam family "Bacterial small subunit ribosomal RNA", at positions 28 to 506 of the family's 1533-position model. The record is from RNAcentral.